AGAGUUUGAUUCUGGCUCAGAACGAACGCUGGCAGCGUGGAUUAGGCAUGCAAGUCGAACGUGAAGCUGUUGAUCAAUUCUUCGGAAGAGUGAUUCAGUGGAAAGUGGCGAAAGGGUGAGUAACGCGUGGGCAACCUGCCCCAAAGCUGGGGAUAACCUUCCGAAAGGAAGGCUAAUACCGAAUACGGUCUUUCAACGCCUGUUGAGAUGACUAAAGAUGGGGAUCCUUCGGGACCUGUCACUUUGGGAGGGGCCCGCGUGCCAUCAGCUUGUUGGUAGGGUAACGGCCUACCAAGGCUUACGGCUAGCUGGUCUGAGAGGAUGAUCAGCCACACUGGGACUGAGACACUGCCCAGACUCCUACGGGAGGCUGCAGUCGAGGAUCAUUCGCAAUGCGCGAAAGCGUGACGAUGCGACGCUGCGUGGAGGAUGAAGGCCUUCGGGUCGUAAACUCCUGUCAUUCGGGAAAAACGAUUUUAUCUUUAAUACGGGUAGGAAGUGAUGGUACCGAAAGAGGAAGCCACGGCUAACUCUGUGCCAGCAGCCGCGGUAAUACAGAGGUGGCAAGCGUUGUUCGGAUUUACUGGGCGUAAAGCGUGCGUAGGUGGCCGCGUAUGUCGGAUGUGAAAGCCCACGGCUCAACCGUGGAACUGCAUUCGAAACUGCGUGGCUAGAGUACAGGAGGGGAGGGCGGAAUUCUUGGUGUAGCGGUGAAAUGCGUUGAUAUCAAGAAGAACACCGGUGGCGAAGGCGGCUCUCUAGAAUGUUACUGACACUGAGGCACGAAAGCUGGGGGAGCAAACAGGAUUAGAUACCCUGGUAGUCCCAGCCGUAAACGGUGUGAACUUGGUGUUGGGGGUAUUGACCCCCCCAGUGCCGGAGCUAACGCGUUAAGUUCACCGCCUGGGGAGUACGGCCGCAAGGCUAAAACUCAAAGAAAUUGACGGGGGCCCGCACAAGCGGAGGAGCAUGUGGCUUAAUUCGAUGCAACGCGAAGAACCUUACCAGGGCUUGACAUGGCGACCCUUCGGGGGUGGGAGUGAAAGCUCCCUUUUACGAUCACAGGUGCUGCAUGGCUGUCGUCAGUUCGUGCCGUGAGGUGUUUGGUUAAGUCCAGCAACGAACGCAACCCCUGUGUCUAGUUGCUACCGGGUAAUGCCGGGCACUCUAGACAGACUGCCUGUAUAAGCAGGAGGAAGGUGGGGAUGACGUCAAGUCAGUAUGGCCCUUACGCCCUGGGCUGCACACGUGCUACAAUGGCCGGUACAGAAGGAGGCAAUACCGCGAGGUGGAGCAAAUCCCCAAAACCGGCCCCAGUUCGGAUUGGAGUCUGCAACUCGACUCCAUGAAGUUGGAUUCGCUAGUAACGGCGUAUCAGCUACGACGCCGUGAAUACGUUCCCGGGCCUUGUACACACCGCCCGUCACAUCAUGAAAGCCGUCUGCACCCGAAGUCGCUGAGCUAACCCGCAAGGGAGGCAGGUGCCGAAGGUGUGGGUGGUGAUUGGGAUGAUGUCGUAACAAGGUA
RNAcentral lists this ribosomal RNA (1527 nucleotides) under metagenome. RNAcentral's name for it is "bacterial SSU rRNA". It matches the Rfam family "Bacterial small subunit ribosomal RNA". The record is from RNAcentral.